This is an RNA transcript of Dicentrarchus labrax (European seabass), 5692 nucleotides long. It is a transcript of the gene named lin-7 homolog A (C. elegans), with no coding region annotated. The transcript is spliced from 6 exons. The record is from RefSeq and is a predicted model, not a curated record. Lineage: Eukaryota; Metazoa; Chordata; Actinopteri; Moronidae.
UGUGAUGCUGCAGCUCCUGUAGUGUCUCCAGUCUCCAGUAAACAGCAGUCAUGGCGACAGUGGUCCAACCGCUCUCUCUGGAUCGAGAUGUUGCCAGGGCUAUCGAGCUGCUGGAGAAGCUGCAGGAGUCGGGUGACGUCCCCGGUCACAAGCUCCAAUCUCUGAAGAAGGUCCUUCAGAGUGAGUUCUGCACAGCCAUCAGAGAGGUGUACCAGUACAUGCAUGAAACAAUUACAGUGAAUGGCUGUCCGGAGUACCAGGCGAGGGCCACGGCUAAGGCCACAGUUGCAGCCUUUGCAGCCAGCGAAGGUCACUCCCACCCGCGGGUGGUGGAGCUACCUAAGACGGAGGAAGGGCUGGGCUUUAAUGUGAUGGGCGGCAAGGAGCAGAACUCACCAAUCUACAUCUCCCGCAUCAUCCCUGGAGGUGUGGCUGAGAGGCACGGUGGCCUAAAGCGAGGGGAUCAGCUCCUGUCUGUCAAUGGUGUGAGUGUGGAGGGCGAGCACCACGAGAAAGCAGUGGAGCUGCUGAAGGCAGCCAAGGACAGUGUGAAGCUGGUGGUUCGCUACACCCCCAAAGUGCUGGAGGAGAUGGAGGCUCGCUUUGAGAAGCUCCGCACGGCCCGGCGGCGCCAGCAGCAGCAGCUCCUCAUGCAGCAGCAGCAACAGCAGAACCUGACCUCUCAGCAGAACCACAUGUCGUAGGUGAGGCGCUUCAUUGCUUUAAGGGUGAGGGGUGGCAGGAGUCGGGACACCAGGAGCGCAAGGUGAAACACCACCAGAGAAGAGGAUGCUGUCAUGAAUGAGUAACCAGUCCCAGUACCGAAGUGCAUUGGUAGAGAGAAGUCUUCACAAAUAUUGCUUGGAGAGGGAACAGCAGGGGUGUGUUCAGACUUUUUUGACUGGGGUGGCACAAGUGGGGCAUGAAGUAUUAGUUGUACCAAUGGAUGCCUUACCAGUAUCUAGUAUUAAAACAGCUACAGCUACUGAAAGACAGUUUGGAGUGGCAGAGGUAAGGACAAUGGGAUGGUCAAUCAGAUCUCAGUGCCAGUGCCACCCCCGGUCCCCCCUCUGGAAACACGCCUGGAGAACAGUGUUCCUCAACCGCAUUUAACGCCUCGCAUUUUCACAUAGCUGCUUCUUUAAAGGCAUAUGGAAAAUAAAUUAUGGAAAGACCUGUACUAGUAGUUGCUUUCUUGCUGAGAGUUAGAUCGAUGUAUCAUAUCUGGAUGGUAGAUAUUAAGCUACAGCCAUAGUUUAGCAUAAAGACUGAAAGCUGUUUGCAGCAAAAUAGUUUGGAAAUAUAUUUAGUAAUAGUUUGGAUAGCACUGAAAACAAUUAAAACAGUUUAGAGGUGCUGGUAGGUAGAUAUUUUGCUGUUUUGCAUCUGCUUCCAAUCAUUAUUCUAAAGCAAAUUAAGUGUCUCCAGGCUGUAGCUUCAUAUUUAGCAGACAGAUUUUAGAAUCAAUUUUCUCAUCUAACUCUCUGCAAGAAACCUAAUGUAAGUGUAUUCCCCAAAAUGUCAAAACUAAUCUUUUAACAUCAAUUUUACUCAAAACAGCAAGUAUGGUCAAUUACUCACAUUGACUUAAAUUUUAUUUUAAAGUCAACAUUUCAGCUAACAACAGGCUCUUAAUUCUUGUAAAAUCACUGUAUAACACUGUCUCCUGUGGCUUAUUGCUUCACUGUUGUUUACAGUCCCAGUCUGGACAGCUGAGCCUGAUUUGGAUCUGGAAGGUCAGAUUGAGAUGAGCACAGAUUAUCUUUGAGCUUCAACAUUGAUUUUUUUUUUUUUUCAUUUGACAGACAGUAUUUGAUCUGAUAUGUAUGCUAUUUUAGGAUUUGAAUGUAUUAAAACAAAUCAAAAGGGGAUAGUGGAUACAGAUUACUUUUAAAGUAAGAAAUCAAUAAUAUGGCUUUUUAUUUAUGUACUUUAUUCCUUGCUUCAUUAAUUCUAUUAUAUUCAUUUUAUUUUAUGUCAUCUGGUCCAUUUUUUGAGUUUAUUGAUUAUUAAGCACUUUGUAAUUUAAAUGCAGAGUUGCUGAAAUGGUAAAAAGUAACAUUUUGCAAGCAUACAGCAAAGGAAUAUAAAUGGGGAGAGGUGAAGAGUUUUCUACUCCAUGCUCUGCUUUGCCUUGCCAUGCAGCUACUUUUAUUGGCUUGUGUGCAGGUAGCAGGCAUUUACAUCCCAGCACGAAGCCUUAUACCCCAGUGCAAACUUAGCUGCUGGUAUCCUCUGUGCAAACAUUACUGCUUCUGCUGUGUUCUGCCAGUGAUUCGGUUGUAAGGGCUGUAAAUUAUUCAAGCUUAAAACGAUUACAUCUGUGGCUCCUGCUCUGCAGGUUCGUGGAUAAGAUAGACCCUGCAAUGCUGUUACUUGGAAGCUAUAGCUGGAUGGAGGUUCUACAUACCUCUGCUGCUAGACAAUAUUUAUACAGUCCAAAUUUAGAACAAAGCUCUGCACUGCCAGUGACACUAAGACACAAACUCACACUUUCACUGUGUGAAAAUAGCAAAACUUAAAAGGAAGAAGAAACUUUUCAGACAACACUCAGACAAGCUACAUCAUAUCAUGCUACGGUUAAUUGUGCACAGACUUCUCGAAUUAUUCCCUGACGUAAUGGUGGCAGGCAUGUGUCCAAGAUCACUGUGGCACUGCCCGUUUGAUGCUUAGUCCCCAAGCGUAUCUGUUGUCUUGCACUUGGCACAGUGCAGCUUGGGAAGGUAUUUAGGAGCUUGUAACAGUGUGUUGCAGUGGAGCUACAGACAGGGAACUGAGCAGGGAUCAUGUUUUAUCAAUGCCGGCAUGCUGACCGCAGAGAUUUGCUUCGGCGGCCAAGAGGCUGCUGACCAAGUGACACGCACAAGCAGACAAGAAUGCAGCAUACGCCACUGGUUUGCCUGGUAUUCAUCUCUCUGUGUCACUGUCUCUCUGUCUGUGUCUUCUUUCCUCUCUCUGUCCACCACAUGCUAACCUUAGAUUAUAACUAGCGGGAGAUUGACGAUGGCUUUGAGCUCCUGAUCAAUAAGUAGCUUCCGAAAGUUCACUGCUGUUGUCAGAAAAUGUAUCACCCCACAUUUUUUAGAGCGUGUGCAGUGGGUAUAACUCUGAGUUGUGUUGUAUUGUGGUUCCCAGGGUCUGUCUUUCAGCAAAUUAUUGCAAGGCAGCAGCAAUAGAAUAAACAUAACCUCCCUAUAAUUGUAGCAAAAACAAAGCAUUCAUGGGGUCUCUCCUGCAUAAAUGCUCUCUGUGCAUGUGUAACACAGUGAGCAGUCACUAAAUGCCCCCACACUAGCUACCACUCUCUCUGCACUCUGGCGUUGCAAGCAACUCAGCAGAAUAUGCUUACCUUCCCAGGGGAAAGACAAGAGCAAAAAGAGGAAGUAGAGGUACCAGAAGAGCUAGAUAUAUAGUUCAUUUAAUAAAUAAAUUGUUAUACUUCCUGUUGACACACAUUACCUUCCCCCAGUGUGUACCACCUGUACCAAUUCUAUCGGAAUGUAUAUUUUUCUCCCAUUAAAAUCUAUUAGCAACACUUAAGAAGGUGUAAGAACAGUAGGAAUGUAACACCAGAAGCGUUAACAACAUGUACACAUCAAAUGAAAUGUUUGAAUCCACACAGGAUUUCACAGGAAUUUUAGCACAAGCAGGCUACACCCGACCACCCAGGUUGUUCCAAAAGAAGAAGAAGUGAAGGAAAGCGAGAAAAAAAAAGGGUGGAUCUCAAAGACCAUCUGUUUGUGUUGAGGAUCCCAAAGGAAUCUCUCCGGCGUGGAGGAAACCAACAAGUAGAAGACUCUUUUACUUACUCUCUCCCUUCCAGUGUACCACCGAUUACUGAGCAAAAACAAAGAGAGAGCCGCUUGUCCUGAAAUUGGUGCUUUGAAAAACAAGUGUGAGGGAGGCUAGCACUGAAAGUUGUCCAUUUUAACUUUGUAUUCCCUUUUAUAAGUUGUUCUCCCCGGUUGUGACUCUUACUGGAACUCCCUUUCUUGUGUUUGCCGUUUUGUUUACAGUCAUCCAUUUCUGAUUGCUUAUACCGAACAUCCAUCGCACCGUGGCACCUCUGCCAUUUUGCCAUAGAUAUCAUUUGUACAGUGGUGUUUCUAUUGAUUCCUCAACUGGUGCUUGUGUCUCCGUAUGAAUGACCAUUGGUUUUUUCUCUUUUUUUGUGUGUCGAACUUGUCCUGUUUUGGAUAAACGUGAACUCUUUUUUACCUUCUAUAUUGUAGCAGGAAAGAUUUUUUGUAUCUUGUAGGUUUAGCAAUAACACACAUUCUUCUGUUUUUACAUUUCACCACUAAAUUCAUGAUCGGAUACAUGCAUAUAUACAAAGUUUAUGGCAUAGGUGCAAAUGUAAAUCAUUGUAAAGCAAAACUGGGUCUUAUGUACUGUAAGGCAGCUUCUUUGUCCAAAUCUAUCCUAUGUGCCAUUUGAAGAGAUUAUUGAUUUCCAGGUGGCAUGAACAAUUAAUGUGCAAUAACUGCGAUCAGCUUUGUAAGCUACUCCCAACUGAGAUUUAUCCAGAAGAUAUAUGUUAGCGAGAGAUUUUAACGAACCAACCCUGAGAAAUGUCAACUGCGUCCUAUUCCCGACAGACAAAGAGAAUGUCACCAGUUUUCAUUUGAGUGGGAAUUAAAUCAAAAUAUUGCUAGAAUUAUGUUUAUUUUUCAGACGUGUCUAUUUUAUAGUUUAUGAGACCAGAGAUUUUAACAUGAAGUUUUAUUGUUCCUUUUUAAAUAUGAUGUAUUCUUUCUAAGAUUAUUAUUUGAAAUCUGUUUCAUUGUAUAACAGCUGAAUAUUAGCACAUUGUUCAUGUAGAUCUGUUCCCCCGCGUUUUUCUGUUUUGACAAUAAUUUUUCCUCUGUGGAGACAACAGAAAAUUCCGUUUUUAAAACUUCUCUCUACCAACCCAGUAGCAGAGCUAAAGUGGUAAAUCCGCCAGGUCUGUGUUUACUUUCCUAUCAUCUCCAUCUUUGGUGCUAAGCGCUCCUUGUUUCCUUUUGUUUGCCCUGCACUUCCCAGAAAUCACUUUUCUUUGUCGAUUCUUCGUGUGUUUUGUUUCUUUCUGUUCUUAUUUCAUUUUCUGUAGGUGGCGCUCUUUUCUUUGUUUUGUUCAACCAAUGCAGGUUUUACCGCUUAGGCUGUCUCUUCUUCUGUUUAUCCCAAGCAUAAAACGCAUUUACUUCCUGUAUGCUAGAGGAUUUUUCUGUUUUCCCCCCAAGGAGAGACCAUCCAGAUGCCGCAUGUUAAGUUUUCAUGAAAAUGUUGCAGAUUUAUUGACAGAAAGUGAGGAUUUAAUUUUCAAUUUUGAUCUACAUGACUAAUUCUCUACAUCUAAUUGCACAAGUCCAGCAUAAUACGUGCCACGCUGCCAGAUAUUGUCAUUUUACUAAAUAACCUGCUAGCACUAAGGUCAGUUAAUGCUAAAGCUUUUCCAUUAGGUCACCUCUGUGCUCGGGUUAUUCAAAAGUUUUUGAAUCGCUCACUCUUCAAGCAGAACAUCUCAAUACAACAGAUCCCUUUUUGUAUCUUUAAAUCACAGGUACUCUUUCUUAAUUGACUUAACAUUUUUGAAGCUGAGGGUCCCGUAAUUACCGUAAAGAUAAAAAAAAGACAACAAACUGUUGAUAUGCAAUUGUUAUACAUACUAUAUUUGUAUAAAUAAAUCUAUGUGCUUGUGUACAGUGAA